This 492-nucleotide ribosomal RNA is filed under the name uncultured bacterium. Its description in RNAcentral is "partial 16S ribosomal RNA". It matches the Rfam family "Bacterial small subunit ribosomal RNA", at positions 29 to 507 of the family's 1533-position model. The record is from RNAcentral.
AGUGAACGCUGGCGGUAGGCCUAACACAUGCAAGUCGAACGGCAGCACAGUAAGAGCUUGCUCUUACGGGUGGCGAGUGGCGGACGGGUGAGGCAUACAUCGGAAUCUACUUUUUCGUGGGGGAUAACGUAGGGAAACUUACGCUAAUACCGCAUACGACCUUCGGGUGAAAGCAGGGGAUCUUCGGACCUUGCGCGAUUGAGUGAGCCGAUGUCGGAUUAGCUAGUUGGCGGGGUAAAGGCCCACCAAGGCGACGAUCCGUAGCUGGUCUGAGAGGAGGAGCAGCCACACUGGAACGGAGACACGGUCCAGACUCCUACGGGAGGCAGCAGUGGGGAAUAUUGGACAAUGGGCGCAAGCCUGAUCCAGCCAUACCGCGUGGGUGAAGAAGGCCCUCGGGUUGUAAAGCCCUUUUGUUGGGAAAGAAAAGCAGCAGGUUAAUACCCCGCUGUUCUGACGGUACCCAAAGAAUAAGCACCGGCUAACUUCGUG